Molecule: long non-coding RNA, 823 nt
Filed under: Equus caballus (horse)
Lineage: Eukaryota; Metazoa; Chordata; Mammalia; Perissodactyla; Equidae
Description: lncRNA (ENSECAG00000051788.1)
Source: RNAcentral
AGAGGGGCCAUGUUAGAGCCUAGUUUGUGUAAAGGCAGUGCUUCACAAUAGAGGGCCGCAAGAGGAGAUAGUCUCUUUCCUCUCAUUUUUCUCAGCCUGAGGAUAAUGUCAACACUGAGGACUCAGGACAAGGAGAUGUUAAGAACUUGGACUAGUGAUGACAAAGAUGCUAAAUCAACGAGCCCUGGAGCCUCCCUACCUUGAGACUUCCAGUUAUGUGAGAUAAUACAUUUCUUCUUAUUUCUUCAAUGAACAACCUCACACAUUAAUUUCUGCACGUAUGUAGAAUUAUUUCUAUAUGACAAAUUCACAGAAGAGGAACUUCUGCAUCCAAGUAAAUACACUGAUUAAAUUUCAAUAGGUGCACUUAAGUUCGUGACUCAUACACAAAUUAGCAAAGAAUUAAAAGAAAACAGAAGGCGCUAACUACUAAUGAAGGAACAGAGAACCACCAAUACAGUGCUUUUCAUGGAUGCUCCUUUCACCUCCAACAAUUUAUUCUUCAUUGCCACGGUGAAGGGAAUAUCUUCUAUGCCAUCUCAGGGAACAUAGUUGUGGGUUGGGCAAGCCAGUUGCACAUGAUGAAGCCACUCCAACAUUCUCAUCUCUCUAAGCCUUUGAAUUCCUUCUUUCACACCAUACCAAGGUAUUUCUGGCAUCCCAACUUCAUUUUAUAUAGGGCCACUGUUGAGUACAAAUUUUAGUCAAACAACUAAGUAAACAGAACCAGCUGCUAGAAUAUAUGGUAGGCAUUCACGUUAAUUAAUUCAGCUCAAUCUAAAAUUACUUUAAUCCCUACUUUAUUGUUGGUUUUGUUUCUGCU